Caenorhabditis brenneri is the source of this 71-nucleotide non-coding RNA. NCBI's taxonomy places the organism in Eukaryota, Metazoa, Nematoda, Chromadorea, Rhabditida, Rhabditidae. The record is from the annotation of a GenBank genome assembly.
GACUCAUGGCCUAGUGGCUAACGCUCGCGUUUUGGAAUCUGGCUACCCGGGUUCGACCCCAGGUGGGGUCA